UGGACAAUGAAAUACAUCAACAAAUAAAUAUGUGAUGUGGCAGCUGGUGGUAACUACUAAGAUGAAAAAUAAAGUAGGGUGAGAGGAAGAGGAGAGUGAGGGGUCAGCGGGUUUAUAUAGUCUGGUGAUUCAUUCAUUUAUUCAUGUUACCUUGGGCAGCUAGUUACGGAGAGCUUUCUGUGUGCCUGGCCCUGUGCCAGGCUCCAUAAAGAAGCCAUUCUCCCCUGGAUCUCCUGUCCAACAGAGGAGACAGAAUCCAUCAAAUAAUCUCCAGAAAUGAAUAUAGAACCAAAGGAGUUACCUGAAGAGAUGGGCAAGUCUUCCCUAAGGAUGCUAUAGUUGGGGCGCAUGUUUACUAUUUAUCCUUUUCAACACAAAUUUACUGCAUGAAAGAUAGCCUGGGAAUUCCAAGAUGUGAUGGAAAAGGAGCAAGUCAGCAAAAGGAGGAAAUCAAAGCUACAGAGAUCAAGAGCUAAUGAACUGAUUCUCCUUCAGCACCCACUACCCCAACCCCACAUUUCAGGCAAAGACUUUCCAACCACUGGCCCAGUAGAAGCUGCUUCUCAAAGAUGCCCCCCCAUGAACCUGCCUCUCUAGGCACACCUUGCCUGGCUCCAGUCCACACGGACUCUGGGCUUGGCCUGUGACUCGUAUUUGCCAGCAGAAUAUGACAGAAGGGAUGCCGUUUCCAAACACAAGCCCUAAAGGUCUGACAGCAUGCACUUUGGUGCUUUUGAGAACUCUGAGCCAUAAGCAGGCAGCCCCGAUUCCCCGCUGGAGAGGCGCCGUGGAGAGUGAGAAGCCCUGAGCCUACCUGAGAAGGGAGCAGCUCAGCCCUCCCAACACCUCAGCGGAGCACAGCCUGGCAGCGGUCCCUGCCAAGUCACCAUGUCACAGCCCCACCCGCCAUCUGACUGCAGUUACUUGUGAGACCCCAAGUGAGACCAGCAGAACCACCCGCUAAGCCCCAGCCAACCCAUAAAUCCAUGAGAAAUAAUAAAACAAUCUCAUUUAUUUAUUUAAU
Molecule: long non-coding RNA, 1024 nt
Filed under: Suricata suricatta (meerkat)
Lineage: Eukaryota; Metazoa; Chordata; Mammalia; Carnivora; Herpestidae
Description: lncRNA (ENSSSUG00005022254.1)
Source: RNAcentral